RNAcentral lists this long non-coding RNA (220 nucleotides) under Olea europaea (common olive). RNAcentral's name for it is "long non-coding RNA (OEUR_LNC013405)". The record is from RNAcentral. Lineage: Eukaryota; Viridiplantae; Streptophyta; Magnoliopsida; Lamiales; Oleaceae.
CAUAAUAAUCUUAAUUACAAAUCAUCCUCAUCAUCUUCACUUUCAACUCGUACUUGAAAACCUUGUAGUCCCUAUAAUACUCCAAAGCAAGUCAUAAUCAAUCUCAACAAGUGCAUUAUAUCCAUUCAUUUUAAAGAGUGCUAGGGCGGAGAAAGUCCCCAUAGUUAUGCUAUCUUCAUUAAUUUCAAAAUCUCCCAUAUCAUGUUGUUGUUGAGCUGCU